Gossypium arboreum is the source of this 228-nucleotide long non-coding RNA. RefSeq lists it as uncharacterized. Lineage: Eukaryota; Viridiplantae; Streptophyta; Magnoliopsida; Malvales; Malvaceae. The record is from RefSeq and is a predicted model, not a curated record. The transcript is spliced from 3 exons.
UUGAGUACCAAUGGGAAGAUGCGGUUCGAUUUUGGAAUUCGAAGAAAGGAGAGGACCGUGAGCGAGUUGGAACAAGCAGCAGGCAAAAACAAAAAUUUACGCACACGGCAGGGUCGAAAAGUUUUGCUUGUGUAGCUCAGGCCGAGGAAGCCUCGUCUGGUCAAAAAGUUGGACGCCUUCAACUUUUUGACAUUACGCACAGGAAAAAAGAUGGAACUCCGAUGUCAU